Molecule: long non-coding RNA, 1852 nt
Filed under: Homo sapiens (human)
Lineage: Eukaryota; Metazoa; Chordata; Mammalia; Primates; Hominidae
Description: HSALNT0024587
Source: RNAcentral
AUUGGCGAGAGCAGGACUUUGGCAGGCAUUUAUCACAGAGUAUAUUACAAAUGUCAUUAGUGAAACAUUAAUAUUACACAACAUUUUAGAAAGGCUGAAGCAAUCAUCUCGUUUUAAUAACAAGACAGUUCUUAAAGAUUUCCUUUAUUUUUUCCUCAAGCAGAAAAUGAGGAACAUUCUAGGAUUAUCAGAUCUCACUCUUUGUUUGCAAAUUGCAAACUGAAACUGUUGAUCACUGCAUUUCUUUCUUCUUAAAUCGGGUCUGCUUGACAAGUGACUGCCAUGCAUUUCUCUUUAUUCAAGGAGACAGAAGACCCUGCUGUUUUGAGGAGGGACCAUUCCAAUAGCCUGCCUUCCUGGGAAGGAGAGACUUUUGCCCAGGAUUGAGGAGACCUAAGUCCUAUUUCCAACUUUGAUGAAGACAGUGGACUCCUCCAUGAACAAUUUACUCAUCCUUGGACUUCCCACUCCAGGACUGAGAUUACAUUUGUCCUGUUGCUUCCACUGAAAGAAGAGCCAGAAAUAUGCCUUAGAAUUUUGGAAGAGAACUGCCCAUCUUCAAGGAUGGAUAUUGGUCUCCCCGGAGUCGCUGACAGGGUUCCUGGGGAAGAAUAAGAGCUCCUAGCAUCGUUGAUGUAGCUUCUUUUAGAUGGGUGAGGCUGAAAAAUAACUCUACUUAUUGUAUAGAGAAAAGGAGUAUAAUCAGAUCUUUUGUGUAUUUAAAAGGGAAGGCUGCUGGACCUCUAAAGUAUGGAUUUCUGGUUGGGGAGGAGAUUGGCUUGUUCUGGACCAAGGAGGUGGGUGGAUACAGCAGAAGCAGCCAUAAGUAGGCAUGUGAAAGCCAACUGGUCCCUGGGUGGUAGCUGUGUAUAGCAGUGGAAAGAUCUGAGCCCUGAUGUAUGCAUACUUAGCGGCACAUUAGAUUAUUUUAACAUUAAAGGACUGGGUGGACCAUUCUAUAGACAGGCCUCAGCAGGUUUCUGUUCAGGUGGAAACUCAGAUCCUGCUGAUGGAGUACGUACAGGCAUGCCUUCAACAGGAAUAGAGACUUCAGGAGGCAGUGAGCAGAUUCUAGCUCUGGCAUUGCUGGGGUGAGGAUAUGUCUGCCCUCCCAACCCUCUUCUACUUUUGGACUUCUAAAAAGUACCUGGACAAUUCAGAGGGAGGUAGAUGACUGAAGUGUGAUUUUCCAAAGGCAGAAGGAGGCUCGUCACAGCCUACUUUAUCCAAAUGGGCCCUUAACCUGCAGUCCUACCAGCCUCUCAAACAGCGAAACUUUGCAGCUGGCAGAGAUGUGUAUGACACACCUGUGCUGCCAAUCACUGAAGAAACCAUGUCUUGAGGAACCUAAGGAGAAAAACUCAGUGGCAAUUGCUUGUCAGUGAAAACAGACCUUGAGGAUGUUGCAGGAAGAAGAGAGAGGGCCUCGUUUGGGAGCUGUUCACCUCUGUCCUAAUACAGGGCACCAGGUCCUGUUCCAAUGGCAGACAGCAUGGGAAGCCAUUAAUGUGCCUGAGUUCUGCAGUCAGACAGCUGGUGUUGGAUCCUCUAACCAACUCUGUGACUGGACAGGAGUUAUAGCCUCUUUCCAAGUGAAUUAUGAAGAGCAAGAGCAAGUGUGGAUAAUAUGGAAGCUCAUUCCAGGUAAUAAGGAGUGGUGAAUAUCACAUUCAUUUUAGUCUAGCCUUUUGGCCACAAGAUAUUCCUGGACAAAUAUCAUGAAGCAUUAUCCUAAAGUUGGUUGUAGUUUCCCAUAGGAACACUAUUAUAAUUUAAUUCCACAAAUAUGAAUUAAGUACCAUGAUGCCCCAGGCAUUGUGCCAGGGCCUGGCUAGUUAUAAGGAAGUAUAAG